RNAcentral lists this unclassified non-coding RNA (254 nucleotides) under Hevea brasiliensis (rubber tree). Lineage: Eukaryota; Viridiplantae; Streptophyta; Magnoliopsida; Malpighiales; Euphorbiaceae. The record is from RNAcentral.
GAUGGUGCCUAGACGAGCUUGUGACGAUCAUGGAACACAGAAAGCUUGUUGGGCAUGUUAUAGUGCCAAAUUUUUAUGUGGAUUCAUCCCAUCACAAAUCAGAAACCGGACAGUAAAGUUUAAAGAGUAUACUUAAUGUCCUUGCUCAAUCCAUCUUGUAUUUCUGCACUUUUUCAUGCAAACCAAGCAAAGUUGAACAAUGAUAAGAUCUCACCAAAGAAAAUUUUACUAAAACCAUUUGAAUUCAAUAGACA